UACGAAGGGGGCUAGCGUUGCUCGGAAUCACUGGGCGUAAAGGGCGCGUAGGCGGCCUUGUAAGUUGGGGGUGAAAGCCCGUGGCUCAACCACGGAAUUGCCUUCGAUACUGCUUGGCUUGAGUGUGGUAGAGGUUGGUGGAACUGCGAGUGUAGAGGUGAAAUUCGUAGAUAUUCGCAAGAACACCGGUGGCGAAGGCGGCCAACUGGACCAUCACUGACGCUGAGGCGCGAAAGCGUGGGGAG
RNAcentral lists this ribosomal RNA (245 nucleotides) under uncultured Methylobacterium sp. RNAcentral describes it as "partial 16S ribosomal RNA". It matches the Rfam family "Bacterial small subunit ribosomal RNA", at positions 524 to 768 of the family's 1533-position model. Lineage: Bacteria; Pseudomonadati; Pseudomonadota; Alphaproteobacteria; Hyphomicrobiales; Methylobacteriaceae. The record is from RNAcentral.